AUGGUGUCGCCGCCGUCCUCCCACUUGCUGCGCGCCCCAUCUCCCCGACUCUGCUUUCUCUCCCUCGACAAAGCACUCCUGCCUCUUAUCUCAUUUCUCACCUCGCUCCACCCUCCCCUCAUCUCUCACCGCCAGCACACUCCUGCCGCUUGUCUCCACGCGGCCAAGGAUCUGACAACGAGGUGGAAGGAGGCGAGCACUAGCAAGCGCUGGCGGGAUCCUCUCGUCGGACCGGGAAGGAGGCGUGCAUUGGCGGAAGGAGACGGGUGCUGGCGGGAUCCUCGGUUGGAAGGAAGCGGGCACUGGUGGAAGGAGAUGGGCGCUGGCCGGAUCCUCAGAUGGAAGCGCUGGCGGCGCUUCUCAAAGGAAGGCUGA
RNAcentral lists this ribosomal RNA (375 nucleotides) under Triticum aestivum (bread wheat). RNAcentral's name for it is "partial small subunit ribosomal RNA". Lineage: Eukaryota; Viridiplantae; Streptophyta; Magnoliopsida; Poales; Poaceae. The record is from RNAcentral.